GGGAGUGAGCAAAAUCGUGGUUUUUUAGAUACUUGUGAUUUUAAAAUAUUUAGUUUUUUUUAAUCUUCUACCUAAAUAAUUUAAAAAGGUUUAUUUAUUUUACGUGAAGGAGUGUGAUGCCUAUAUGUAUGCUCGUGAAUGUGUGUUUAGUGUCAUCCAAAGAAGCCAUAAGAGGGCGUCAGAUUUCCUGGAACUGGAGUUACCAGAUGGCUGUUGUUCGGGUUUAAAUCUCGGCCGGUGCCGGGACAGAACGCACCAAGCCGCAUGGAGAGAAGAGGAGAGGAGAGGAAAGGAGUCCGGCCAUGGGCGCGUGGCGGGAAGGGGGCAAGAACGGAGAAGAACAAAGAGUACGAGCGAAAAAAUAGGAACGAAUUUAUUUUGACAUCGAGCUGGAGUCAGGCUGGUCCACCACCAUCAGGAGUGUCUUAAAUCAAUGCUCAUGUAUUUUAAGUAAUCGAAUGGAUGGAUAAGAGAUACAACGUAAAGCAUAGAGAUAAUUUUAAAAAAUCAAUUGUGUAAUUGAAGCAAGUUCAAAAUUUUACCGAAUAAGAGAUAAAAUCAAAAUAAUUAAACUGCUUAGGGAAAAAUA
Rattus norvegicus (Norway rat) is the source of this 589-nucleotide non-coding RNA. The record is from RefSeq and is a predicted model, not a curated record. NCBI's taxonomy places the organism in Eukaryota, Metazoa, Chordata, Mammalia, Rodentia, Muridae.